UGGAAAGCUCAGAUCUUUAAUGAAGGUCGGACAGAUUUACAACCUGAGAGUCAGCAGAUACUGAAAUACUGUGAAGUCUCAAGAACAAUAUGUACAUAUAACAAUGACACUUAUGAUCAUUUAAGAGUUUUAAUAUUAGAAGAAGACUAAAUGAAUUUUAGCUGAGUUGGAAGAAUCAGCUGGACACAUCAUCACAUUUAUAAUUCGUGCUGUGAAUUCUGGUUUCAGAUUUAAAUGUAAAUGUAAAGAUUUGCAUGAAUGAGCAGGAAGCCCUGCAGCAGACUCACAGACGGAUGCAGAGGGGAGGAGUGUGGAGGUGUGUGCUGUGUGUUUGGAGGAGGGACUCCUUCAGUUAGAGAAGUGAGGCGUCACAAGUUCCUGGUUUCCAGUGAAGAAGAAGAGAGGCAGCAGUAAACCAUCAGAGCCUCAUCAUGAAAGUCCAUCACACUCUGAUCUGCUUCUUCUUCCUUUCUCUGCAGGAUGGAAACCCUGAAGUCACCAAAGCUCAGAUUCGUUACUAUGGAGUCAUUGGAGGAGAUUUUAAAGCUGGAUUCUCCUUUAAUUCUCCAGGAACAUGGAAGAUGUUCUGCAGAGAAAAAUGUGAAGGAGAAAACAUUCUUAUUAAAACAACUGAUGUCAGAGCUCAAACAGGCAGAUACAGCAUUGAAUACAAAAAAGAAUCAACAUAUUAUGUUUUAUCUGUGAGCAUCUCAAAGCUGACUGAGUCUGACUCUGGACAGUACAGCUGUGGUUUGGGUGGAUCUCCAUCAUCAGCUCCAUUCACACCGUUUGUGAUCGUUGUUGCUGAAGCACUGCUGGAUGGAAACGAUGAUCCUGCUCAGCUGAAACACUUCAAUAAAGAAACUGGAAGCUCUCUCACAGUCGCAUGUUCCUUUAAACAAGCUGGAUACAGAAAGAUGUUCUGCAGAGGAGAAUGUGGAGGAGAGAAGAUUCUUGUUCAUACAGAGCAUCUCAGUGCUCAGAGAGACAGAUACAACAUUGGAUAUGUUUCAGAAUCAGGAGUUCUGUAUGUGAGCAUCACACAGCUGACCAAGUCUGACUCAGGACGGUACAGAUGUUUACUGAUUGGAUCUUCCAGCAGCUCAUCCAGAGAGUUUGAGGUCACUGUCACAGAUGCAGCUGGACCAUCAGCCACAACUACAGGAAGCUCCACACCUUCAUUAACUUGGACUGGAAGCACUGAGCAGCCUGAAGGAGCAGCAUCAGAUGUGCUGCUGUUUGUGGGUCUGACUCUGGCUCUCAUCAUUAUCCUGUUAUCAGUGUCUGUGCUGAUAUUCUGCAAGAAAAGAUCCUCUAAACCAAAGGAUCAUCCUGUGGGAACUGAACGUGAUGCUGUCACAGAGACCAACACAGUGUAUGAGAAUAUCCGAGCAGAGGGCAGACACAGCAGAUCUCCUCCUUACUCUUAUGCCAAAUACACCAAACCGUCUGGAGUUGAAAGCAAUGAUGACCACAGCUUGGUCACUGCAGCCACUUCUCAGCACAGAACUGAAGAUGACUCGAGCAAACUCACCUACUCUGUGGUGAAUUUUUCCAAGAAGAGCAGUGACUCUGCCAACAGCACGUCCUGCAGUAACACCAGUGAAGUUAUCUACUCCGAGCCUCGGGUUAAUGCAAACCACUCCGGAGGUGAUCCAUUGUACUCUACUAUAACCUAGCUUUAGCUCCUGUGCUGGUGGCACAGUUUAUUUCUCACAGUGUUCAAAAUGAAGCAGCGCUUCCAUCAAAAUCUGAAGAUUCAUCCUUCCAUCCAUUUUCUUAUCUGGAGCCUUGUCACAGGGGCCCAGACCCAGAGAAGCCCAGACCUCCCUCUCCCCAGCCGCCUCCUCCACCUUAUCUAGGGGAACACCAAGUUGUUCCCAGGCCAGCUGAGAGAUAUAAUCUCUCCAACGUGUCCUGGGUCUGCCCCGGGGCCUUCUCCCGGUGGGACAUGCCCAGAACACCUCACCCAGGAGGCGCCCGAAGGCAUCCUUAUCCUCCUUUCAAUGUGGAGCCCGUCUUGGAUGGCCAAACUCCUCGCCCCAUCUCUAAGGGAGAGGCCAGCCACCCUUUGGAGGAAACUCAUUUCCCCGCUGUAUCCAUGAUCUUGUUUUCUGAGGUGAGGGUGGGGACAUAGACCAACCUGUAAACUGAGAUCUUUGCUUUUACACUCAGCUCUCUCUUUACUGCAGCCACAGCACCGAUCCAUCUGUCAAUCUCCCCUUACUCAUGAACAAGACAUGAGAUACUUAAACUCCUCCACCUAAGACUGUAAAAUCUAAGAUUCUUUUUUCUUUUAUGUUACAAUUUGAUGUAAUUUGUCUUUAGGUUAGUGUUACAGUCAUUUAAAUUAAGAUCAGAGGUGGUAAGGUUUCUCCACCUAAGCUAAUAAUCCUUAACUAAUAACUGCUUGACCUACGUUUUUAAAGAAUUAUACACAAACAAAAGAAAGAAAGAAACUGGUAAUGAGAUAUUAAUACACAGCUCACCCAGUGUGGAGCCACUGAAUCCAGACUCAUCCGUCGGAUUGGCAGAUGGAGAAGCGUGAACACGUUUCCACUGCUCUAGAUCAGACGGCAGGUUUAAAUAUCACAACUAUAAUAAUCCAUAAUUAUGUGGAUAUGCAUAUCAGAUAGUUUUUAGUGAAAUAUAAGCCCUACAGAAAGGCAGGGAAAGCCCUGUAACUUACUUUAAAACUAAACGGUGGACAGAGCUACAGACCCCUGACAGCCUUACCCAGUUAGCUAGCUGGUAAAAGGACAGGUAAUGUUUGUCAUGCUGUUGCACACACAGCACACUCAUUUGUUUCAGUUCGUCAGUUGCCACAAGACAGCUGACCAACAUGUGCUUGAUAACCUAAGACUGCUGGGUGCUACAGACUACAGUGUACGCUGUACACCAUACUUAAUCGUUUUGCUGCAUCAGUCUGCCUCUGAGUUAAUUUGUGUUUAAGGGUUAGUCCUAUGAUAACAUGCAUGAACUGUAUCUUUAUUCGACCUCGUAUCUCUAUUGUUGUUUAAGACGUGUGUUUUAGGGACUUAAUAAAUGAUUAAACAAUUUCUAAACAAUGAUAUCUUUUGUAGUUUGGAGGCUAAACAGGCCUAAUACACUGAAUAUGUUUUCAGUGGUAGUCGAGCAUCACUUCAGUAAGUAUGUAACAGAAAGAGGAAGCAGCUGCUGGUUUUCUAAAUCUAUUUGACCCAACAUUCAGUGAAGUGAUUAAAAAGAGGAAGUAAGAACUAGUUACCGUAAACAAGCUGUCACACAUGGGUGGACCUCCUUUACUUCAAGCAUGACUCAGUUUUUCUGUCUUUGUGGGGUUGUUUAACCUUUUCAUUUGUAUCAUGAGUAACUUUUGCAGCAUUUUUUAUUUGCAUUUAGUCACAC
RNAcentral lists this long non-coding RNA (3387 nucleotides) under Oreochromis niloticus (Nile tilapia). RNAcentral describes it as "lncRNA (ENSONIG00000032317.1)". Lineage: Eukaryota; Metazoa; Chordata; Actinopteri; Cichliformes; Cichlidae. The record is from RNAcentral.